AUUCAGCUGAAGAGUCCAAAACAAGACGAAACGCGAGUCAUGGAU
Molecule: non-coding RNA, 45 nt
Filed under: Schistosoma curassoni
Lineage: Eukaryota; Metazoa; Platyhelminthes; Trematoda; Strigeidida; Schistosomatidae
Source: RNAcentral